UGGGGAAUAUUGCACAAUGGGCGCAAGCCUGAUGCAGCCAUGCCGCGUGUAUGAAGAAGGCCUUCGGGUUGUAAAGUACUUUCAGCGGGGAGGAAGGGAGUAAAGUUAAUACCUUUGCUCAUUGACGUUACCCGCAGAAGAAGCACCGGCUAACUCCGUGCCAGCAGCCGCGGUAAUACGGAGGGUGCAAGCGUUAAUCGGAAUUACUGGGCGUAAAGCGCACGCAGGCGGUUUGUUAAGUCAGAUGUGAAAUCCCCGGGCUCAACCUGGGACCUGCAUCUGAUACUGGCAAGCUUGAGUCUCGUAGAGGGGGGUAGAAUUCCAGGUGUAGCGAUGAAAUGCGUAGAGAUCUGGAGGAAUACCGGUGGCGAAGGCGGCCCCCUGGACGAAGACUGACGCUCAGGUGCGAAAGCGUGGGGAGCAAACAGG
RNAcentral lists this ribosomal RNA (429 nucleotides) under Chloroflexota bacterium. Its description in RNAcentral is "Chloroflexi bacterium partial 16S ribosomal RNA". It matches the Rfam family "Bacterial small subunit ribosomal RNA", at positions 355 to 776 of the family's 1533-position model. The record is from RNAcentral. Lineage: Bacteria; Bacillati; Chloroflexota.